UAAGGAAUAUUGGUCAAUGGAAGCAAGUCUGAACCAGCCAUGCCGCGUGAAGGAUGAAGGUCCUCUGGAUUGUAAACUUCUUUUAUCUGGGACGAAAACGGGAUUUUUAUCUCAAUUGACGGUACCAGAGGAAUAAGCACCGGCUAACUCCGUGCCAGCAGCCGCGGUAAUACGGAGGGUGCGAGCGUUAUCCGGAUUUACUGGGUUUAAAGGGUGCGUAGGUGGGCUUAUAAGUCAGUGGUGAAAUCUCCGAGCUUAACUUGGAAACUGCCGUUGAUACUAUAGGUCUUGAAUUAUCUGGAGGUAAGCGGAAUAUGUCAUGUAGCGGUGAAAUGCUUAGAUAUGACAUAGAACACCAAUUGCGAAGGCAGCUUACUACAUAUAAAUUGACGCUGAGGCACGAAAGCGUGGGGAUCAAAC
RNAcentral lists this ribosomal RNA (420 nucleotides) under uncultured bacterium. RNAcentral describes it as "bacterial SSU rRNA". It matches the Rfam family "Bacterial small subunit ribosomal RNA", at positions 355 to 773 of the family's 1533-position model. The record is from RNAcentral.